AACGACCGGCCGGACACCUGUGUGCCCGGCCCACAAGUGGAGGCUCCGAUCUCCCACCUGGCUGUCCUCACGGACGGCGGGUCACCGGUCAGGCGGUCCCCAUCGUUCCGUACGGACGAUGGAGCACCGCUCGAUGAUGCGCCCCGCGGUUGAUGCGCGGUGGUGCUCCGGUAUAUCCAGGAGCCCCGCCUGUGUUCCCGUCCGGGGCAUUUUUC
This 215-nucleotide non-coding RNA is filed under the name Streptomyces agglomeratus. RNAcentral's name for it is "Streptomyces RNA 1601". It matches the Rfam family "Streptomyces RNA 1601". From Rfam's summary of the family: Identified by deep sequencing of transcriptome at the end of exponential growth phase. Appears longer on northern blot than sequencing transcript. Lineage: Bacteria; Bacillati; Actinomycetota; Actinomycetes; Kitasatosporales; Streptomycetaceae. The record is from Rfam by way of RNAcentral.